GACGAACGCUGGCGGCGUGCCUAAUACAUGCGAGUUGAGCGCUGAAGGUUGGUACUUGUACCAACUGGAUGAGCAGCGAACGGGUGAGUAACGCGUGGGGAAUCUGCCUUUGAGCGGGGGACAACAUUUGGAAACGAAUGCUAAUACCGCAUAAAAACUUUAAACACAAGUUUUAAGUUUGAAAGAUGCAAUUGCAUCACUCAAAGAUGAUCCCGCGUUGUAUUAGCUAGUUGGUGAGGUAAAGGCUCACCAAGGCGAUGAUACAUAGCCGACCUGAGAGGGUGAUCGGCCACAUUGGGACUGGGACACGGCCCAAACUCCUACGGGAGGCAGCAGGAGGGAAUCUUCGGCAAUGGACGAAAGUCUGACCGAGCAACGCCGCGUGAGUGAAGAAGGUUUUCGGAUCGUAAAACUCUGUUGGUAGAGAAGAACGUUGGUGAGAGUGGAAAGCUCAUCAAGUGACGGUAACUACCCAGAAAGGGACGGCUAACUACGUG
This 497-nucleotide ribosomal RNA is filed under the name uncultured bacterium. RNAcentral's name for it is "partial 16S ribosomal RNA". It matches the Rfam family "Bacterial small subunit ribosomal RNA", at positions 28 to 507 of the family's 1533-position model. The record is from RNAcentral.